CCUUGGCAAAGAGAAAUUUUACCAUUCGACCAUAUCCGCAUUUUUUGUUUAUGAUACAUAAUAUAUCCACA
Molecule: transfer RNA, 71 nt
Filed under: Clerodendranthus spicatus
Lineage: Eukaryota; Viridiplantae; Streptophyta; Magnoliopsida; Lamiales; Lamiaceae
Description: tRNA-Gly
Source: RNAcentral